AAAUUCAAAAAUAUCGAAUGCCAUGUUGAUGUUGCAUGGAAGGGAAGUUGGAAAGAGAGUGUCUAGAACAGGGGAAUCAUGAUUAGCAGUGGAUGGAAGAAGAGGAAGACAUUUUAAGACCCGGUAGCUGUUGCUGCAUUGUGCCUGAGAUGAUCCCCUCAGCGCUGGCGUUUGAUAACUUGGUGGAUGUAGAUGCUUAGCCAGUCAGUCACUAGGCUUGAAUCGGGAUGCUCACAAGGACAAGAGGUGUAUAGAAAAA
Molecule: long non-coding RNA, 259 nt
Organism: Saccostrea cuccullata (small rock oyster)
Lineage: Eukaryota; Metazoa; Mollusca; Bivalvia; Ostreida; Ostreidae
Exons: 3
Source: RefSeq, a predicted model, not a curated record